CGUGUGGUUUAAUUCGUUGCUACACGAAGAACCUUACCUGGGUUUGACAUAUAAGUUGUAGGGAACUGAAAGGGACCGACCUUCGGGGAGCUUAUACAGGUGUUGCAUGGCUGUCGUCAGCUCGUGUCGUGAGAUGUUCGGUUAAGUCCGCUAACGAGCGCAACCCUCGCCGUAUGUUACAAGUGUCAUACGGGACUGCCGGUAAAAGCCGGAGGAAGGUGAGGAUGAUGUCAAGUCAGCAUGACCUUUAUAUCCAGGGCUACACACACGCUACAAUGGUCUGUACAAUUGGUUGCCAAGCCGCGAGGCGGAGCCAAUCCGUAAAGCAGGCCUCAGUUCAGAUUGCAGUCUGCAACUCGACUGCAUGAAGCCGGAGUUGCUAGUAACCGCAGGUCAGCAAUACUGCGGUGAAUACGUUCCCGGGUCUU
RNAcentral lists this ribosomal RNA (428 nucleotides) under uncultured Anaerolineaceae bacterium. RNAcentral describes it as "bacterial SSU rRNA". It matches the Rfam family "Bacterial small subunit ribosomal RNA", at positions 938 to 1382 of the family's 1533-position model. Lineage: Bacteria; Bacillati; Chloroflexota; Anaerolineae; Anaerolineales; Anaerolineaceae. The record is from RNAcentral.